GCCAGCAUGGUGUAGUGGUUUGAGUGAUAGACUAUGGCCUUGGAGACUAGGGUUCGAUUCCCUGCUCAGCCA
Molecule: non-coding RNA, 72 nt
Organism: Phrynosoma platyrhinos (Desert horned lizard)
Lineage: Eukaryota; Metazoa; Chordata; Lepidosauria; Squamata; Phrynosomatidae
Source: the annotation of a GenBank genome assembly